ACACUCCUGCGGGAGGCAGCAGUGGGGAAUUUUGGACAAUGGGCGAAAGCCUGAUCCAGCAAUGCCGCGUGAGUGAAGAAGGCCUUCGGGUUGUAAAGCUCUUUUGUCAGGGAAGAAACGGUGAAAGCUAAUAUCUUUUGCUAAUGACGGUACCUGAAGAAUAAGCACCGGCUAACUACGUGCCAGCAGCCGCGGUAAUACGUAGGGUGCAAGCGUUAAUCGGAAUUACUGGGCGUAAAGCGUGCGCAGGCGGUUUUGUAAGUCUGAUGUGAAAUCCCCGGGCUCAACCUGGGAAUUGCAUUGGAGACUGCAAGGCUAGAAUCUGGCAGAGGGGGGUAGAAUUCCACGUGUAGCAGUGAAAUGCGUAGAUAUGUGGAGGAACACCGAUGGCGAAGGCAGCCCCCUGGGUCAAGAUUGACGCUGAUGCACGAAAGCGUGGGGAGCAAACAGGAUUAGAAACCCGGGUAGUCCCAUGAU
RNAcentral lists this ribosomal RNA (477 nucleotides) under uncultured organism. RNAcentral describes it as "partial 16S ribosomal RNA". It matches the Rfam family "Bacterial small subunit ribosomal RNA", at positions 333 to 801 of the family's 1533-position model. The record is from RNAcentral.